CUUGCUUCUUGAGCCGAGCGGCGAACGGGUGAGUAACGCGUAAGCAAUCUGCCCCAUAGUCGGGAACAACCAUCCUAACGGAUGGCUAAUGCCGGAUAUUGACGGACACUUCCUGGUGUCCUAUCGAAAGAUUUAUCGCUAUGGGAUGAGCUUGCGUCUGAUUAGCUUGUUGGUAGGGUAACGGCCUACCAAGGCAUUGAUCAGUAGCCGGCCUGAGAGGGUGAUCGGCCACAUUGGGACUGAGAUACGGCCCAGACUCC
RNAcentral lists this ribosomal RNA (260 nucleotides) under uncultured bacterium. RNAcentral describes it as "partial 16S ribosomal RNA". It matches the Rfam family "Bacterial small subunit ribosomal RNA", at positions 79 to 339 of the family's 1533-position model. The record is from RNAcentral.